UAGGGAAUCUUCCGCAAUGGACGAAAGUCUGACGGAGCAACGCCGCGUGAGUGAAGAAGGAUUUCGGUUCGUAAAACUCUGUUGUUAGGGAAGAAAAAAUGUAUAGUAACUAUAUACAAAAGAGACGGUACCUAACCAGAAAGCCACGGCUAACUACGUGCCAGCAGCCGCGGUAAUACGUAGGUGGCAAGCGUUGUCCGGAAUUAUUGGGCGUAAAGCGCGCGCAGGUGGUUUAGAAAGUCUGAUGUGAAAGCCCACGGCUCAACCGUGGAGGGUCAUUGGAAACUAAUAACUUGAGUGCAGGAGAGAAAAGUGGAAUUCCUCGUGUAGCGAUGAAAUGCGUAGAGAUUAGGAGGAACACCGGUGGCGAAAGCGGCUUUUUGGCCUGCAACUGACACUGAGGAGCGAAAGCGUGGGGAGCAAACAGG
RNAcentral lists this ribosomal RNA (428 nucleotides) under Verrucomicrobiota bacterium. RNAcentral describes it as "Verrucomicrobia bacterium partial 16S ribosomal RNA". It matches the Rfam family "Bacterial small subunit ribosomal RNA", at positions 355 to 776 of the family's 1533-position model. The record is from RNAcentral. Lineage: Bacteria; Pseudomonadati; Verrucomicrobiota.